Molecule: transfer RNA, 39 nt
Filed under: Vipera latastei
Lineage: Eukaryota; Metazoa; Chordata; Lepidosauria; Squamata; Viperidae
Description: partial tRNA-Leu
Source: RNAcentral
UCUGCCAGAGGAUAGUAGCUAUUCCGUUGGUCUUAGGCA